Pungitius pungitius (ninespine stickleback) is the source of this 3513-nucleotide long non-coding RNA. RefSeq lists it as uncharacterized. The transcript has 3 exons. The record is from RefSeq and is a predicted model, not a curated record. NCBI's taxonomy places the organism in Eukaryota, Metazoa, Chordata, Actinopteri, Perciformes, Gasterosteidae.
GCACCCCUCCCGUCGGACAGCCCCCCACUGAAGUAUUAAACAGAGGGUGUAACGACGUUCCUUCGGUGCUGUUCGCCAUUAAGCCACAUUGAGCUGCAGACACGUGACUCCAUUUCUUCACGCAAAUGACGGCAGAUCGUUUGAUUCUUUUCGUCUUUAUUUUACACAGCAUAGCGUUAACUAAACAUAGAAAUAAUAAUAAAUUCUAUCACAUGGUGGAUAAACAAUAUGCUCUUUUGCUUAAUCAGAAAUAAUUUUAAAUGCACCGGUUUAGCACCGAAAAAACCCCCGAUACCAAUCCCUACUCUCCUCAAAGGUUACUGACAUCUUGUGGUUAACAGCCAAUCGUGUAUUUGGAUAAAAUACAAUUAGUUGAGACUGUAGUUGAUUGAGGGUUUCAAGGUUUAAAUUAGUUUUGUUUUUACAGAAGCAUGGCGUAAUCAUCUCAAUAAACGAGAGCCAACUUUGGUUGCUGUGAAUCUGAUCUAGAAGACAGCGUUCUGCAAAAUAGUCAAGCUGUUUGACAUCUCUUAACACGAGAAACGAUAAAAGAAAUAAAAAGAAAAUUGAAUGAGUCUGAUUAAUGUUUUCUGUUUUGAUUCAAAGAAUCUAAGAAAAACCCUUUAGAUUUGUAAACUACUGCCUAAUAGUCUCAUUACUGCCAUUUUAUGGCAAUUACAUAUACAUCCAAAUGUAGUCCAAAUAAGUAUAUUUAAUCGUUUUAACAAAGGUAUUAUGUUAUUUCACUAGUUUAAUGAAAAAAUGCCGCCAAUUUUUUGAUAAAACAACCCUGCUUUUCAGUUAGUGGGGGCAAGUGCGUAACAAUGCAUUCUUUAGGAAAUAUUGAGAAAAUACCAAUCUAACCCCCCCAAUAUACAUGGUUACGCCCUUGAAUGGGGCCUAAAUAUUAUGUGAAUUUCCUACCCUGCUAUGGCAUGACAUAUUAUGCAGCACGAUAAAGUGUCAUUAAUGUCUACAUUGAAUCAACGGUGCUAGAAUAUUUGGUGUUUGGUUGUCCUCCCCCAAAGCCCAUAUAUAUGGAUAACUUGCCAACGAUAUAAACUAUUUGACAAAAGUAUAUAGAUAACACUGCAAUAAGUAAGACAAAUCUUUCGAUAUGAGACAGGCUGUCUCAGUUGAGUUGGGGUCUGAUAGGCGCAGAUACGAAGACAAUUGGUUGAAGUUGUCAACAUCAAAGGGGGCUGACUUUGGCAGUCUAGAAAGCUUUUGGAAUACACCCUGAAACCAGAGAUGGGGAUGGUGAGAAGAAAUUCAGUCUGAAGAAGAGUAAAUGGGAUUGGGUCAAGGGUGUAUGUGGUGAGGCAGUUAGAGUACAUACUGAAACCUCUUGUGAAGCCACAUAAGGCCUCCUGAUGGUAUCAGCCCCAGGGUGCUGAAGACCUGCGCCAUCCAGCUGUCUAAAGCCCACCAACAUCUCCUUAUUCUGAACCUAAAGCAGCAGGCAGUCCCGAUGCUGUAGGAGACACCGUGGCCUCAAUGACCACUGACUAGUUGCCCUCACAUCCCAUGUGAUGAAGGUGCUGGAGAGGCUGCUCUUGACCCACCUUCAAGCCCAGAUAAAAUCAUCACCGGGCCCUCUGCAAUUUGCAUUGCCUUAUGUGGGAGUGGAUGACGCCAUCAUCUACCUGCUGCCACGAGCCCAGUCGCACCUGGAUGGUGGCUCUAUCCCUUUCUUUGACUUCUCCAAUCAGUGAUUCUGGCGCUUCACAGUUCUGUGUACCUUGUACACAACUCACUUCAGUUAGGGCAGCUCCGACCGCUGGGCGCUACAUGACUUGUAAAAAUAAAUGCUGCAGCCUGCCGAAGAGCAACGUCAGUUUUUACGGCAUAAUGCCGGUAUGAACAGUGCGUGAGUUACCGUAAAACCUUGAUUAAAGACUACAUAGAAGACUGUAAAAAUUGUCAGCCCCUCCCCACUCUUUAUUCUUAAACCGGAAAUAUGAUCAUUAGCGCCUAAAACGUUUUGUGUAUUCUUGUGUGAGUACUACACUUUUAAAUGCUAUUUCCCAUUCUAAAUUCAUAAUUUAUGUCUGCACAUAUAAAUACUUGUUCUGAAUACAAGGGCUUGUAAAUGUAGUAGUUGUAGUUUUUAUUCUUAAAAUAUCAAUGUUUGUCUACAUUUUUAAUUGUUCAAAAAUGCUUCCAGUUUUAUUAGAAAUUAAAUAAAAUACAUAUUAAAAUGUAUACUUAAUUCUAGUUGAGUAAUAACGUCUCAACUUCACCAGGUAUUUUAUGUAAUCCUUCGGUUUUAGUAAUUACUAUUACCCUUCUACGUUAUUAACAAGGCCCAGCAGAACAGGCUGAGCCCCAAUGCUCCCUCAAGCUAAUGGUGACUGAAGGAGUGGGGGGAUGGGCGAGGGUACGGUGGGGACAGUCAAUGUCAGGUUUUGUGUUAAGAACCUUAAGUUUCGUUUCUUUACACAAAACCGAACUGUUACCAUCCACGUGGGGUCCUCGGUCUGGCCACGCCCCCACCAAGCACCUGCUACCGUCCAUUUCCCUCAGACUGCCGAGGAGCAGACAACGUGACGGUGCUGGCUGCAGAAGCUGGAUAGAAAUGGUGAGUUUUUAAUUAUUGGACUAGCUUCUAAUGUAAAACAGUGCUUUUUACGUUUACUUUGAUACUAUUAAUAUAUGUACUGCCAUAUAAAAUGAGCUGUUGCAAUGUGCUAAACUCAACUUAGAUGGGAAGCUAAUGUUAGCUAACAAUAAGCAAGCAUGUGCAACUAGCACCACAAAUAGUGCUGUUAAGUUUACUUUGAUACUAUUUUCAUAUGUACUGCCAUAUAAAAUGAGCUGUUGCAAUGUGUUAAACUCAACUUAAAUGGACAGCUAAUGUUAGCUAACAAUAAGCAAGCAUGUGCAAGCAGCAGCAUGUGCACGCGUUGUGAAAUAGAAUGCUGGACAGCUAAUUAGUUAUUUAUUAUAUACUAUAUAAAUAUAUUCAUGUUUUAUCAAUAUCUUUUCACACAGAAUGUGAAUAUUAUGCUCAACAAAGGGAGUGUAAUACUUAAUCUGCGUUAAGACCUGGAUUAUAACUAAUUUCCCUUUAACCAUUUUAAGUAUCCUUACGGUGGCUUUUGGGCCUAUAACACUUAAUAAGCAGUUUUCCAUUUGCCCAAAGAGUGAUUGUAAUAUCUACCCAUGUAUAAAUAGGCAUUUUAAUUCAGAUUGUCAUAGGUAUUGAGAUAGAUAAUAUAAUGUUUGUCGUUAAGAACAGAAGUAGAUGUUGUUACUAUAAUGCAUUCCAUAACAGAUAAACUUAAUUCAUUUCAGUAAAAAAAAAAAAAGAGUACUGUAAUGAGUUGGAUGUAUAGCUUUGGCUGAAUGUGUCCCUUGUGCUUUUAGGAGGAUGGAGCAUGUUUGCCAUCCAGUAGUGACAGCUCGAAGUGCACAGAUGCUGAUGUCGGAGAAAUGAAGGAGCCUUUGACCGUGAACAUACUAACCAGGUAGUUCCGAUGAAAAGAUGCUGCUGGCUGGAGAGGUCUGGUG